Molecule: long non-coding RNA, 513 nt
Organism: Peromyscus maniculatus bairdii (prairie deer mouse)
Lineage: Eukaryota; Metazoa; Chordata; Mammalia; Rodentia; Cricetidae
Source: RefSeq, a predicted model, not a curated record
GUUCUUCUCUUACGCUGUUGCUGUGGGCUGGCAGAGAAACUCAGUGAGGAGAUCGCAGGAAUCGACACACAAGCGACAGCUUUCACAGGCCUCUGGGGACGGAAAUCAGCAUUUUUAACUAUCCGGAGGAUUUGUUUGAGGUUGUUGGUGUCACAAUGAUUUGUGGUCCUAUUAAAAUGACAUUUGCUGAUGACAUGAUCCGACGCGUGGUAUUGGUUCAUCUCAGCGUGAAGACGUGCUGAUCUUUUCAUCAUGGCCACACAGGAUGCCAACACCUUCUGGGAAUGAUGAAAACAGACAUCAAGGGUGAUCUAUGCCUAGGAAGCUGGAGGCUCACAUGGAACUCUGUGUCCCUCACCAUCUGGUGGAUCCUUUGAAGACAGGAACUGAAACGUCAUCACCCACGUCCCACAGUGCAUUGCAAUGUCUGGUGCACAAUUGUGCCCAAUAUUUGAGAAAUGAAUGACUUACUAUUGGUGGAUGAAACCCAAGGAAAAUAAACAAAAUCAAACA